UACGGAGGGUGCAAGCGUUAUCCGGAUUUACUGGGCUUAAAGGGCGCGUAGGCGGGCAGUUAAGUCAGUGGUGAAAUCUUCAAGCUUAACUUGGAAACUGCCAUUGAUACUAUUUGUCUUGAAUUAGCUGGAGGUAAGCGGAAUAUGUCAUGUAGCGGUGAAAUGCUUAGAUAUGACAUAGAACACCCAUGGCGAAGGCAGCUUACUGCGGAUAUAUUGACGCUGAGGCACGAAAGCGUGGGGAGCAAACAGG
Molecule: ribosomal RNA, 253 nt
Filed under: uncultured bacterium
Lineage: Bacteria
Description: partial 16S ribosomal RNA
Rfam family: Bacterial small subunit ribosomal RNA
Source: RNAcentral